This 1908-nucleotide ribosomal RNA is filed under the name human gut metagenome. RNAcentral's name for it is "bacterial LSU rRNA". The stretch from base 541 to 1908 matches the Rfam family "Bacterial large subunit ribosomal RNA", at positions 1 to 1989 of the family's 2925-position model. The record is from RNAcentral.
UUUUAUCUCGAUUCCCACUAUCUUGUCUGGAAUGACCAUUACCACAUCCGCACGGGAGUUCCCGACGGUCUUCUCCUCAAGGAUACGCACCUUGCCAUAUCGCUCCUCAAGGAAAUCAAACAGGGGUUCUCGUAUAUCUUUAUCUAAUAACAUUUUCCCUCCUGAAAUCAAUUGUUUUAAGUAAUCUUUAUAUGUAUUUUUGUCUGCAAAGUCAAGAAUCUCCCGCUUUAGCUGAGAAAACCAGGGCAGACCGCUCAUAAAGUGAGCUUUCCGCCCUGGUUUCUAUGUGAACAUAAUAUUAUCAGCCCUUGUUCACAAGCUCUGUGAACUUCUUAAGCGCAUCCUUCGCCUCUGGUGAAAUGUUCCUUGGAACUGCAAUUCUCACGGUAACAUAAUGAUCUCCAUGGGUAUUGCCGCCCCUCGCCUGGACACCCUUGCCACGAAGCCUUAUCUUGCUUCCCGACUGAGUACCCGGUGCUAUCUUGCACUUCACAUCACCGAACAUGGUGUGGACCAAUAUCUCUCCACCGAGAACUGCCGUGUCAAAUGGCACAAGAGCCGUGGUGUAUAUAUCCAGACCCUUUCUCUCAUAACCUGCCUUGUCUCUUACAUUGACCUUCAGCAGCAUAUCUCCAGGCUGACCCUUGCCGGUUCCGGGAUAUCCCUUGCCAGCCAGUCUUAUCACACCGCCGUUGUCUAUACCCGCCGGAAUGUGUACAGUGAACUGGGAACUUCCUCCCCGUCCAUCAUUGAACGACAGAGUCUUGUCGCAGCCAUAUACUGCAUCAUCAAAAUCUACCGUGACACUUGCCUCCAUAUCUCUGCCCCGCGCAUUGAAGCUUCCCUGACCGAAUCCGCACUGAAUAUCCUAGGGGGCGUCAAAGCUUACCGAAGAUUAUCAAACUCCGAAUGCCGCGUAGAUGAUGUACGGGAGUCAGACUGCACGAGAUAAGUUGGGUAGUCAAAAGGGAAAGAGCCCAGACCACCAGCUAAGGUCCCAAAGUGCGUGUUAAGUGGUAAAGGAUGUGGGAUUUCGAAGACAACUAGGAUGUUGGCUCAGAAGCAGCCAUACAUUCAAAGAGUGCGUAAUAGCUCACUAGUCGAGAGGUCCUGCGCCGAAAAUGUCCGGGGCUAAAACACGACACCGAAGCUGUGGAUCCGAAAGGAUGGUAGAGGAGCAUUCUUAAGUCGACGAAGCUGUACUGUAAGGAGCAGUGGAGAGUUAAGAAGAGAGAAUGCCGGAAUGAGUAGCGAGAUUUAAGUGAGAAUCUUAAAGGCCGAAUAUCUAAGGUUUCCAGGGUAAAGCUGAUCUUCCCUGGGUAAGUCGGGGCCUAAGGCGAGGGCGAGAGCCGUAGUCGAUGGAUAACAGGUUGAAAUUCCUGUACUGCUUAUGGACAGAACUGUGGGGACGCAGAAGGAGAGCACGAGCCGGAAAUGGAAAAGCCGGUACAAGCGUAUAGCAGUCAUGCAGGCAAAACCGCAUGAAAAAUGUAAAGCGUUAUGUGGAUCGAACAUUAGUAGAGAAGCGUGUGAGCCAGCUGCCAAGAAAAGCCGCUAUUGUUUCAUAAGUACCCGUACCGUAAACCGACACAGGUGGAUGAGGAGAGAAUCCUAAGGCCGGCGGGAGAAGUGUUGUUAAGGAACUCGGCAAAAUGACUCCGUAACUUCGGGAGAAGGAGUGCCACAGAGAUGUGGCCGCAGAGAAAUGGCCCAAGCAACUGUUUAGCAAAAACACAGGUCUAUGCAAAACCGAAAGGUGAGGUAUAUGGGCUGACGCCUGCCCGGUGCUGGAAGGUUAAGAGGAGAGGUUAGCGCAAGCGAAGCUUUGAAUUUAAGCCCCAGUAAACGGCGGCCGUAACUAUAACGGUCCUAAGGUAGCGAAAUUCCUUGUCGGGUAAGUUCCGACCC